UCUUUUAGCAACUAGCUCUCUGCAACUCUCACAUGAUGGCCCACUGAAGCUAAGCAGGGAUGCGCCCAGUCAGUACCUGGAUGGGAAACCAGAUGAGAAAGCUAGGUUGCUACCGGAA
Ribosomal RNA from Danio rerio (zebrafish), 118 nucleotides. The record is from Ensembl. Lineage: Eukaryota; Metazoa; Chordata; Actinopteri; Cypriniformes; Danionidae.